AUUGAACGCUGGCGGCAGGCCUAACACAUGCAAGUCGAACGGUAACAGGAAGAAGCUUGCUUCUUUGCUGACGAGUGGCGGACGGGUGAGUAAUGUCUGGGAAACUGCCUGAUGGAGGGGGAUAACUACUGGAAACGGUAGCUAAUACCGCAUAACGUCGCAAGACCAAAGAGGGGGACCUUCGGGCCUCUUGCCAUCGGAUGUGCCCAGAUGGGAUUAGCUAGUAGGUGGGGUAACGGCUCACCUAGGCGACGAUCCCUAGCUGGUCUGAGAGGAUGACCAGCCACGCUGGAACUGAGACACGGUCCAGACUCCUACGGGAGGCAGCAGUGGGGAAUAUUGCACAAUGGGCGCAAGCCUGAUGCAGCCAUGCCGCGUGUAUGAAGAAGGCCUUCGGGUUGUAAAGUACUUUCAGCGGGGAGGAAGGGAGUAAAGUUAAUACCUUUGCUCAUUGACGUUACCCGCAGAAGAAGCACCGGCUAACUCCGUG
RNAcentral lists this ribosomal RNA (490 nucleotides) under uncultured bacterium. Its description in RNAcentral is "partial 16S ribosomal RNA". It matches the Rfam family "Bacterial small subunit ribosomal RNA", at positions 30 to 507 of the family's 1533-position model. The record is from RNAcentral.